CAGUAGCCACGGUAAUACGGAGGGAGCUAGCGUUGUUCGGAAUUACUGGGCGUAAAGCGCGCGUAGGCGGUUACUCAAGUCAGAGGUGAAAGCCCGGGGCUCAACCCCGGAACAGCCUUUGAAACUAGGUGACUAGAAUCUUGGAGAGGUCAGUGGAAUUCCGAGUGUAGAGGUGAAAUUCGUAGAUAUUCGGAAGAACACCAGUGGCGAAGGCGACUGACUGGACAAGUAUUGACGCUGAGGUGCGAAAGCGUGGGGAGCAAACAGGAUUAGAUACCCGCGUAGUCCCUGUCUCUUAUAA
Molecule: ribosomal RNA, 301 nt
Filed under: uncultured bacterium
Lineage: Bacteria
Description: partial 16S ribosomal RNA
Rfam family: Bacterial small subunit ribosomal RNA
Source: RNAcentral